CAGUCGCCACGGUAAUACGAAGGGGGCUAGCGUUGUUCGGAUUUACUGGGCGUAAAGGGCGCGUAGGCGGACUGAUAAGUCAGGGGUGAAAUCCCAAGGCUCAACCUUGGAACUGCCUUUGAUACUGUUUGUCUUGAGUUCGAGAGAGGUAAGUGGAACUGCGAGUGUAGAGGUGAAAUUCGCAGAUAUUCGCAAGAACACCAGUGGCGAAGGCGGCUUACUGGCUCGAAACUGACGCUGAGGCGCGAAAGCGUGGGGAGCAAACAGGAUUAGAUACCCGUGUAGUCCCUGUCUCUUAUAA
RNAcentral lists this ribosomal RNA (301 nucleotides) under uncultured bacterium. Its description in RNAcentral is "partial 16S ribosomal RNA". It matches the Rfam family "Bacterial small subunit ribosomal RNA", at positions 509 to 809 of the family's 1533-position model. The record is from RNAcentral.